UGAAGAAGUGAGACCUCUGGUGCAGUGUGGUUCUUUGGCCAAUUGUUUGGCAUCCACACACGAGUGCGGAUGAGCACAGGUUGGGCCAGGCAACUUGAUUCUGCAGCUAGAAGCUGAACCGCAACAGUCUCUGGGAUGGAGUGGAACAGAAAAGGAGGGCAAAAUCCUCUAACUCACCACCUCUUUCUACAUCUGUCUGGACAUAGGGAUGAGGUCCAUGACAAUGACACCCCUACACAUCUCCAAGAUAAUCUGACCCUGGCAACUGCCCUGUUGUCCUUAAGGUUCCUGGUCAUGCUUCCUGCUUAAGCACUUGCAGGGCACUCCUCCGAUCCUCUCUUUCUGGGUUUCCUCUAAUAGAUCUCUGUAGGGGUGGGGGGGGGGCUUCUACAUUCCAUAUGCAGAAAGCCUGCAUCCCAGUCCUUGCCUUUAAAGAUGUCAUGAAUGUUUUAUAGGUGCAGAGAAUAGGGUUCAGCAAAGACAACUCUGCCCAGAUAGUGUGGGGCAGUGCCAGGAUUUGAACCAGAUUAUAAUCUGCCUAAAUUUAGUCUUGUCUUUGCAUUGUUACCACCUUCCCCACCCCCCUGUGUUAGUGUAGUCAAUCUUUCUACGACUCCCUUAGUUUCUCCUGUGUAUUUUAGACUUUACCCCAUCCUAGGAGUGGUUUUAUUUUGACGAUUUUAUCCAAUUCCUUGUUGUCUUGUACUUAGCACUGUGCCGGGCAGCCUCAUCCUUGGAGUGGGGGGGGGGGGGAGACAGAGGUGCAUAGCCUCUCUGUCUUGCUGUCAGCUUCUCCGUGAUCUAUAUCUGUGGAGGAAGAGGCUCAGACAAUUCCCUAUGUUCCCUCAGGAGAGUGCACGGUAUCUACAUACAACAGGAGGCACCAAAGCGUUUGAGUACACUUUUAUGUUAAUAUUUUCAUGUUGAAGCUUGCUUUUUUUUUUUAUACAUUCAUUAUUUACUGUGGAGUGGGAUAUACGCCAUGACACAUAAGUUGAUAUCAGAGGACAUCUUGAAAGGUCAGUUGUUUCCUUUGGCUGUGUGGGUUCUAGGAACUGAAGGAUGAUCAGCAGGCUUGCCAGUAAACACCUAUAACCAUUGAGCCACCUUGUCACAUAUUACAGCUUCUUGAAAGAAUGCGAUUGUGUUUUAAAAUUACCUUUUGAGAAGUUAGCACAGUGCCGUACAUAACCAGUGUGUAAAAAAUUGUGAGAGUCAGCCUAAUUUUUUAAAAGACUAUUGUCUGGCUGAUGGUCAAUCUAGAGUCACAUUCAUAAUUCCUCCUGUAAGUUCCUAGGUCACAGGGUUUCUUGUGUAAGGCCACCGCACUGUGGCUCAGGAGGUCUCUUCAAAUGAUACAUUGUGUCAGGUGAUAUGGUAGCAUAGGAGUAUUCUGAUCUGCAUAUAGGGAGAAAGGAGUUUGUACAAGAGUAUAUACUGGGGUCCAGGUCUGCAGUAGGCAAUCUAGCCACAAUGCUCUCAUUUCAGAGAAAGAGAGCAAGGAACUCCAAGAGUUUCAUGGCUGUCUGGCCUGAACGUCUCCAGGGUUUCAUAAUGUGUACUCUGAAGAAAGAUUAGACAAUUCCUUAUUUUGCUUAAGGGAAGAAUAUUUUAAGUACAUAUAAUUGCUAUCUUUGCAGGCUAACUUCUAUUCUGGUCUUAAAACAAAACAAAACAAAAGGUUUCACAUAUUUUUUUUUCACUUGAACCCAUCUACUAGCACAGAGAUAGAGGAAAGCCAGAUUCGCAGACAAACAAAUGUGGGCAGUGGAGACGUUGUCGGGUUGGUAUAACUGGAUUACUGGGAAGGGUGCAAACUGUGAGGUUCCUUGGGUAUAGUUCCUCCCGGCCUCCCUGGUGCUUUGCCAGUGUCUCCUCCUGGAGUUUUCUCUGAGGUGUGGAGUCAAGUGCAUAUUGACCGCUAUGGGUAGCAAGAGAGGAGGAGGAGAUGGGCUGGAAAUCAUGACUGGAAAGCCUGAUUGACAGGUGUCGCUGAACUGUGCUAUGGGAUCUAUUCUGUUCACCCUACUUUGUCUGCCUCGCAUAGAGCUGAUGGGGUGUACGACCAUCCUGGGGUUCACUCUGUCCUCUAUCAGGCUGAGUAUUCUGAGGCCACUGAAUUGGCUACAAACAAGUUGCCAUCUUCGCCAACUGGGGAAAACUUCAUGCUAUCAGCCUACAGUACAGUUUGAAAAGUUGUAUCUUUUGUGAGAUUCCUCAAGGGAGAGCUGGGUAGGAUGCCACAGUUACUCUGUUCCAAAUGCGCUCAACAUAGAGUGAACAAACUCUCCCUGCAGGAAUCCCCCAGGAAUUGCCUGCUCUACCCAGGAAGAUGGGGAAUGGAAAUACAUUAUAUACUGCAUGGUCAGCCUUUUUUUUUUUUAGGCAAUGAGACUGAGCCAAUAGGGAGUGGCAUGUGCUACAGGUGGCAUGUGGCUCAAGCAUUCCUAAGGACUGUCAUUUCACACUCAAAACGGUGUGCUAGUUUUUAAGUGUCUGUUUAGGUGUGUCAGGAUGAAAAAAAAAUGGAUGAUUUUCUUCGAAAGGAAACUUUGGUUUUCUUUUGUUAAGGAGUACACUAUGGUUUAAUAGUGGCUAUUCCCCUAAAAGGCUUGCACAUUGAAGACUUGAUCCAGCCAAUGAUGCUAUUGCCUGGGAAUUGGGUCAUGCUUUUCUCAUCAAGGGAUCAAUUCAUUGAGAAUUCCAGAGGCUGGAGAAAGUAAGUCGGUGUGUGUGUGUCCACGUGUGGAAUCGGGGGGGGGGGUCAUGUUUAAGAGUAUACCAUGUCCCCAGUCCCUUCCUGUCGGUCUCAGUUUUAGCUGAGCAUCUUUGUUCUGCCACACCCUUCUAGUCAUUCAGCCGGACCUCACCACAAAGGGCCAUAGACCAAAACCUCUGGACUCAGGAGUCAAUCUUUUCUCCUUUAAAAUGUUUUUUUUCUCUAGUAUUUUUACACAAAGACUGAAAAACCAACACACCAGGUAUUAGGAAAAAUCAACAAUCCCCCAAUAUAUACAAAUAAUAGUAUUUGUUGUUAUGAAUUUAGAAAACGAUUCUGUUUCCCCUUCUGCCUCAGUGGGUGCCCUUUUCAGCCUUCGAGCCUAACCAUGCAGAAGGCGUGUUGCUUGUCGAAUGGGGCCACACGGAGCCUGAAGAUUCUGGAAAGUAAUGUGCAGUCAGACCAUGGAUUGAUUGCCCUGAGAGCCGGUGAAAGGAAGAGGAGAGAUGUCUCCAUCUCUGGGAUAAUGAGAGAGAAAAGAGUCCUCCCAAAGAUGAAUGUCUAUUUACCUGUAUGCCAAGAAGACUCUGUGACAUCCAGUUCAUUAUCCUUGGCCAAAGGGUGCCAUCUAGGAGCCAAGUUCUAUUUCCUCCUAGAGUCCCUGCCAUUCAUUCAUCAUUGGGUUCAAGCUGCCAACCCAAGAGAUGCAAAUUCAUCCCCUGGGGCUUUGGAAGAUAGAGUUUACAGGGUCAAGCUCCUCGAAUGGAUAAUCAAAUAAAUACACAGGCCCAAAAUUCGGUCUGGAGUCAUUCCUAUACUUUUGAAACUGCCACACAUACCCUGGGGCUUCGGAAGAAAAGAGAUGAAAAAGAAGGCUACAAAAGCCAGGAGCAUUCACAUCUCAGGUCAGCUGGUGUGGUUUCUAGAGACUCUGAUUGACCAAAUUAAUGUUCCUCAGGAACUGGCUCCACUGUGGUAUCCAUGAUCCCUGGCUCGGUAAGCACUUUUCAACAUAGGCAGGGAAAGAGGAAGACCUCUGACUUGCCAAGAAAGAGAGGUUAGACUAUGGCUGGUCUUCACAGUUUCCAGUCAAAUUCUCAAUAUUGUCUUUCACAGUCGUUCAUAUUUGAGAGUCAAGACAGGGGCUAGGGAGAUGGGUCAGAGAGUAAAGGGCUUGGGCAAGAAUCGGGACCUGAGUGUGGAUCCCCAACAUUUGCAUAAGAUGGAGAGAUCAAGGCUUAGUGAUGUGUGACUGCAACUGUAGCUUACCUCUGGUCUCCACUUACGCAUGUAUGAGCAAAUGCACCCAUAUGUACACAUACACAUAACACAGAUACAUGCAUGCACAUACACAUGAACACAUACACAUAACACACACACAAACACGCGUGUCCACACGCAUGCACGCACGUGCGCAUAUUUCCUCGUGUUCAUACAUUUCAUAUUCUCUGGCCUUUGCAGGUCUCAUGCUCUUCUCUUUUAGCCAUUUCCAUUCCAGCAGAGUAGGAUAGGAAGCGACAGAACCCAGACAGUGAAUGGCUAAGUGCUUUGAUCAAUAGGGCUGUAAGAGCACUGGCCAUCAAAUCUAGGUCUCACCCCAGCUCUUGUGAGCUAGGAUGUAUACACUGCACCAAGUUCACCCAAAGGGUGGGUUUGCAUGAGUCCAAGGUGUCUUUAAUAAUAAUCAUGUCCCAUGGUUCCCUCUGUUAUUAAUGAAAGGACAGUGUGGCAAGGAAGGGCUUUCAACGCAGCACAAUUAAAUUUACUGAAGCGUUUGUGAAAUAGAUGAGUCUCCAAAGUGCUGAGCAUGCAGAAUUUAAAAAAAAAAUUAAAAGAAUACAGCAGCAUAAUUUGAGUAUAUUCUAGGGUUCAAGGUGCUGUGGCAGAAUCAGAAUUCUGUAGAGAUUCAAACAUCAAGAGAUGAACAGGAAGCACUCGGGGGGAGAAGCUGAGGAAUAUUUUAAAGGCAGAAACUGCCACCUCGGAGAUUUUAAAUUUGGCACAUUUGACACUUCUCAAGGAGUCCUCCCUGCUACAAACACCACGGACGUGAAUACCAAAGAGUAUGGCUCACUGGAGCCAGGCUUGUUUUCUGGGGUCCACUGCUUUGACCUCCAUGGAGGUUGGACUCUGGACUUCCUUACAGGACAGCACAUGUCAAAUUAUGUGUAGCCCAUGACACCACACACUCUGAAAUCUGGGGAAGGUGAAACCCUUCCUCCUCUUCAUUCUCAAGUCUUUAAAGAUGGACCAUGAGAUUUAGAUUACCUAGGCCAAUUCUGGAUAGCUCAGUUAGGUGAGUGGCUUUGUAAGCUUAGCUCUGUAGUGUAAGUGGGGGAGGGGCACGGGAGAACAUCAGGUGUCCUGCAUAUCGUUUUUAUAUUUAUUCCUUCAAUAGAGAGUCUCCUACUGAAUAUGAACCUCACCAGCCUUCAGCUAGGCGUCCUUGCCAGUGAAUCCUGAGCAGUUAUUUAAUCUCUGUAUCAUCACUGCCAGGACACGGGGAUUACAGGUGUACACAGCCACACCCAUCUUGAUGUGGUCUCUGGGAAUCUGAAUUUAUGACUGCAUGCUUGUGUGACAAGCACUGUAUUAACUGAGUCAGCUGCCCAGCACCUCAGCGGGAUUCUUAUAUGUACAGGAGAGGACAUGACAUGUUGAUAUUUGGUCCUACUAAGGUAUAGCGCUGCACUGGCCUUCUAAUAAGAAUUUUUUGAGUGUUUUUUUUUUUUAAUUCUGCAUUCUUCUGGGAUAUCGAUAAAAUCCAUGGUCAUAAAGUAUGAAAGGAAUACAGAUCAAUCAACUACUUAAAUACAGAUUAGCACUCUUACACUGUUGUUUGGAUUUUAGUUUUCUGGGUUUGGUUGGCUGGUUGGUUUUUGUUGCUUUCGUUGUUUGCCUCUGUUGGUUUGCUUGUUUGGUUGGUUGGUUUAAAGAUCCUAUUUUUUCAGUAUAGUCCGACCUUUACAAAACUUGCUGUGCAGCUCGGAUAAGCAAGCUAGCCUUGAACUUGCAAUCUUGGUGCUUCAGCCUCCCAAGUGUUGGGAUUUUGUGCCAGCGUGUCCCCCCCAGGCAAGCAGUCUCUAACUGAUCAUUUUCCUUCCCUUUCCAGGUAGUCGGGUGAUCUUGAUUACCACAAAUCUACAUCUCGGAGUUUUUCAAAGAGCAAGAGGGUGAGAAAGGAGGCAAGAAUGUUAAACAUAAAAUAAGUAGGGUUUGCAUGCCCAAAGAUGAUACUCCAUGUUACAUUUGCCAUGUGUGUGCACUCUACAUAAGCACAAGCAGAUGGCUUAAUGAAGGCAAGGUAAGAGGAGGAUUGUCCAAGCCUUGAUAACAGGGUCUUCCCCACAUGCUGCUCAAUGGGGACUUAUGUUAAUAUCCUUUCAUGCUCACCUUGUACUUCUUUGUUUCUAUGUGGAGUGGAAGAUCUACAAAUUGAGUAUCCAUUGAGGGAAAACAGCAAUGCUGUCCUAUUCAGAAGUAGGAAGCUUUGGCAGGGAAACUGUUGGUGAGAUAUCCAAAAUUUAACUCCAGUGACUCAUCCUGUGAUUUGGACAUAUUUUGUCUUAGUCAGUUUCCCUUUCUAAGAUUUUCCUAACCACAUUUAGCAUUUGCAACUUCUGAAGUGGAUCUGCAAAGAAACGGUCCUAGGCUCAACAGGAAGAAUUCCCUCUUGCAAUCAUUCGCCUUUGUACUGGAAAAUCCAGGGGUGCUGGCAGCUGCUAGAACCUUACAGUUCUGCUAUGCCAAACUCCGUGUGGAGGUAGCGAGUACCAAAUUUCUCUUUGACUUUUACUACACAGAGAAGCUUUCUUUGCAGAAUGAGGACUCUCCAGUUGUAGGCUCACAUCUUCCCAUGACUCCUGUCUCUCAUUGCCAUCAAGCAAGCAGGAGAACAACACUAGCCUCACCCCCACUCCCUGUGCCUCUGUCUUCCAGAUGGGAAAAGUAGAACCUUAAUUUCACUUCUCCUCCCUCCCCAAACCCACUCUUAGUUACAAAGUCUUUCUGGUGCACCAUUGAUCUUCAUCCAUUUCUUCCUCUUUUCAUUGACCAAGGUCUGCCAACUCCCCUCAAGCACUUUGGCUUCAUUUUUUGGCUUGUUCCAGUAGGCUGCCUCUAUCCCUCUAGUUACAUCACCUACCAGUCCACCUAAAAUUUUAGCAACAAAAGAUCUUUAAGUUCUGCCUUUGGUUUGUCAUGUCUGAGUCCCAAAUCUUUGGUGACAAUUUAUCUGGUGCUGUUUUGUAUCUAUGAGACUAUGGGUUUGAGGAAACCACAACAGCUGGUAAAACACUAUAGAUUAUUGUCACAGUAAAUGGCUCUUUCUGGAUAUGACAUAAUGGGGACCAACUUUGCUGAAGUCCACCCUGACCCAGAGCUCGUGACUAACAUGCCUGUGUGGGCUUUCCCGAGGUAAGGCUUGUCACUGCUUGUGAGUGUGCAUUGCCUUCCUGCCCCCAUUUGCUCUCCAGAGAAAGGCAUCAAGACUCCCUGAAAGUCAGAAAGGUGCAUUUCACACCAUAAAAUGAGUGACCUACAAGGCUUGCCCAAGGGCUCUGUCCUCGGCCCCCUUGUCUUGUUUAUUUUAUUAGAAUCUAGAGUGAAAAUAGAUCCCAACCUUGUCUGCAGAUAUUAAGAGUAAGGGGGAAAUGUAGAUGUCAAGAUCAAAGCUCAUGGAGAACUCCAAAAGAGGUCAAACUGCAGAGCCUAGAAAGUGACAGAUAUCAAUAAGUUCUGAAUGUGAGGUUCACCGCUCUAAGGAUAAGAUGAGGGAGGCCCUGCAUAAUUAUUACACUAUAACUAUAAACAUUCCAGGGUAGGAGGUCAGGAUGAAGGGGGAGGUCAUACAUUAUUUAUAAGGAAAAUACUAACUGCCAGCAGUUUUCUCCCGAGCCAGCAGAAGCGUACUUAAGUUACAUUAGUGGCAUCGCACUGUCUGGGACAAAGGAUGAGCUGGUUACAGGCUGUUCACUGCUCUGACGGCCCGAGAAUAUUUUCAGUUCUUGUUGCCAUAUCAAGAGCAAAACGAAUCAUGAAGAACAAUGAUUGGUCCAGAAAUCACAUGCAGCUCAUAGUCUUACUUAUGUUUAUCUUUAAAAGGUAGACAUUAAGAAAAUAAUGUCUGGUUUGGGAUUUUCUGUUUGUCUGAUUUUUUUUUCUUUUUUUUAGAAUAUCUCACUAUUUAGCCCAAGUGGCCUGAAUACCUUGCUAUGUAGCCCAAGUUGAUGCUGAACUCAAUAUGGUCCCUGCCUAAGCCUCCUGAGUGCUGGGAGGAUGGUUAUGUAUUACCUUGUCUGGAAACAAUGUAUAUUUAAGGACAGCCAUGAAGAAGGAUGACCUUUAUUCUCUCUACUGAGGACAAGAACAAGACUCUUUGGUGGAAGUUUGUGGAAGAGGUAAGCCAUUAGGAAACAAGUACUUACUCUUUGGUAAGAGUUGAGACAGUGGAAUCAGAUGACUUGAGAAAUGAACCUCCUGUUUCUAGAUAUGUCUGAAUAUCAAUUGAGUGACAUUAUUACAGGAGACUUUUAUAUCAAUCUUGAAGUGGAUACCAGGAAGUCUCUGCUGUCUGUGUAGAUGCUGAUUGUGUUUGGUCCAUUGGCAGUGUCUUUAUAGACUAUACAUUCUCUAAGAGUAGAGAGACUUAGUGUUGCAUUUAUAUAUGCAGGCUUCUAACACAGUUCCUUUAGGGAUUGAGGCAUACCAUAUAUUGCAGAGCAGUAACAAAAUUAUGAAGUCCUAUCUAGAAAGACCCCAUCUCUUCUAGAAAAUCCAGAGCAAAUUUCUCAAGCCCAUUUCUGACUUUUCAAUAGCUUAUGCUCUGUGGCACAUGACUUGAUAUGGUACAAUUUUCUCUUGUACAAUGAUGCUUAAUAUGAGCUCCCUCUAAGCUCCCUAAUUAGACUGUAAAUUCUGAAUGAACAAAAGAAUAGAUUGCCCUGUUAAAAUUAUGUCAAUGGCAUCAUUAAAUCCAGUCUCAAAUAGGAUGUUAAUGUGUUAAUACAUUUUAGCAUUCAAAAUCACCUUUGUGCUGGGGAGAUGACUCAGUUUGAAAAGUGACAAUUCUAUAAGCACAAGGACCCAACUGCAGAUUCCUAGCAUCCAGGUAAAAACAUGGCAUGGCUGCAUGUGUUUUGGUAACCCUAGCAACUGAAUCAGGGCAUAACAAGUGAAUCCAUAAAGGUCACUGGCCAGCCAAUUUAGCCAAUUGGUGAGUCCUGGAUUCAGUGAGAGAGCUCGUCUCAAAAGAUACAAUGAGAGCAGUUGGGGAAGAAACCUGACUUUAACCUUCAGUCUCCAUACAUAUGUAUACAUAUAUGUAUGCUUCUGCAUGCGUGUGCACACAUGCACACACAUAUGCACACACGCACACACACACACACACGAGGGGGGAUGGAGAGUUACCUUCAACUUAUUAACUACAAAAAGAAAAAACCAGUAAACUUUUAGUGAAAAAAAAAUAUCAAUUUUGUAACCAUCUGCCUUUGCCAAGUCUGCCCCAGUUCCCUAAUAAUGAUAUGGAGGCUUAUUUAUUUAUAAAUAAAUGCCUAGGCCUUAAGCUAGGCUUGUUCCCCAACUAGAUCUUAACUUAUAUUAACCCAUUUAUACUGAUUUAAGUUCUGCCACAUAGCUGGUUACCUCUCCUCAGUUUCAUAUAUCUAAUCCACACCUCGGUUGUCAAAUCUUUCCCAGAGUUUCUCUCCCUUCCAGAUGUCCCACUUUCUAUUAUACCUUUUGCUAUAGGCCCAGAGAAUUUUUAUUUUAACCAAGCAGACAAGGAAGGACAGAGACACAUCUUCACACAGUGCAUAGAAACAUUAUCCCUACACAACUUAAAAGAGAUUGACACAUUCAGCACGUGUUUGAAAACACGCUGAUUGGCCGAUUCUGGAGCAAAGCUUCAUUUCCAUGGUAUUCUGGAUGCAGAUGAAUAACUUUCACCUAAAUGUGAGGAGUUGCCACAUAAACUCAAAUUGAGGGAAUUUCUACAAAAGAUGUGACCAGAAAUAGGACUAAGAAAGAAUUAAGAACCUUCCCAAUCUGAGAAAACAUGUCCCUACAUGCAAUGAGGGAGCCCUUGAGUUUAAAAGGUGACAAAUCUAAGGACAAAUACAGAUGCGUUAGUGGCAUUAUUACAACAAUGUUGAUUUGCUGGCUUUGUAUUGUAUUGUGGUUAUGACAGCAUCAAAGCUAAGGAAAGGUAAGUAAGCAUCAUGAGGAAUAGUGUAGUAGAUUCACCCCUUGUCUGUAAGUCUAAAAUGACCUGAAAAUAAAAGUUGAGUAAGUCCCAGUGUGGUUCCCAGUCCCAACACCACUGCCUUGCGCCAACAGUAACAAGUGCACUCAGUCCCCACGAUGUGCGAUGGUUACAUCCUGCAUGCUUGCUGCAGAAACAGAAUUGGUAAAUCCUGGAGAACCGACAGCUCUUCAAGGACACAGAGCCCUAAUCUUUCCUGAAAGCCUCUGAGCAGAUAGUUCUCAGCAACAAACACACGGCUUUGUUUUAUGAAGGUUUCUCUUGGAAGACUCGCUAUUUGACAUAUUCAUUAACAUGGAACCCAACAGCCAAUAGUACCCUGACUGUAACUCAUACAUGAGAACAGUUUAUCUAACACUUGUAUUUUUCUCCCUAUAAGAUACGUCACAGCCUCCAUGAGCACAGACACACCAGGGCAUUUUAGCAUUGCACUUAGAAGCCGUGUCAAGUAGCAACACUCUUUAAAAUGCCAAAAUAGACACGAAAUGGAGCAUCAAGUAGCAUGAUGUUUUUCUUGUACCCUUCUUCAUGAAUUGACCUCAAAAGCUCCUGUAAUUUGUGAGUUACAAAUAAAUUUUAACAAGUGAGCUCACUUGCCAGUGGCCAACUGGAUUCCCUUUCUAAGGGAAAGAGUCAAUUGCAUUUUUAAACACAUCCAGUGAUUUUGAAUUUAUAGGUCUUUGCCCUCAGUGAAUAAGAAAAUAAGAAUAACAUUUCACUUGAAAUGAUAAAAUAAAUUCUUGAAAAUAUACUUCAGAGCCAAGGAUUUUCCAACUAUCAGAACACAUCAGAGAGUGAGGGCUACUCACUGGCAUUAAGAUAUAUCGAGAAAAAUUAUAAGAUUUCCAGUAUGGGAGCAUUUUAAUUUUGCAGCUUAGGCCUGGGGGUCAUAGCUUAGUACAAAGCACCUACCUAAGCAUGCAGGAGGUCCUAGGGUUAAUCCUUUGUAAUACACACACACACAAACACACAUACACACACACACACAAACACACAUACACACACACACACACAAACACACAUACACACACACAAACACACAUACACACACACACACAAACACACAUACACACACAUACACACAAACACACAUACACACACACAAACACACAUACACACACACACACAAACACAUACACACACAUACACACAAACACACAUACACACAAACACACAUACACACACACAAACACACAUACACACAAAUACACAUACACACACAUACACACACACAAACACACAUACACACACACACACAUACAUACAUACAUACACACACACACACACACACACACACACACACACACACACACUGUUCCUCAUCAUGGCAAUCCUGAGGACAUCAGCUGUUCCCUUGUUUCAUCAACUCUAAUGCUGUUUGUCUCCUUCCAUUUUGAUCCCUGAUACACAUGGCCACAAAGUGAACUCCCUCAGUAACAGGACUCACCUGACUGUGACAAUUUGUAUAUGCUCUGGCCAGGGAGUGGCACUAUUAGAAGGUGUGGCCCUGUUCAAGUAGGUGUGGCCUCUUUGGAGUAUGCGUAGCACCAUGGGCAAGAGCUUUAAGACCCUCAUCUUGGCUGCGCGGAAGCCAGUAUUCUGCUAGGAACCUUCAGAUGAAGACAUAGAACUCUCUGCUCCUCCUGUGCCAUGCCUGCCUGGAUGCUGUCAUGUUCCUCCCUUGAUGAUAAUGGACUGAACAUCUGAACCUGUAAACCAGCCCCAAUUAAAUGUUGUCCUUAUAAAGGUUGCCUUGGUCAUGGUGUCUAUUCAUAGCAGUAAAACCCUAAGACACUGCCCAUCAGCAAACCUCUUCUUCAUCACCACACAUCCCACUCUCCACUUCUAUUCCAUGAUAUUUUUUUUUCAGUUUACAACACAGAAAUUCUAAUACUCCUCCUCUUGUUCCCAGUCCUCUACCAAUGUCUCUCUCCCAGUGCCACCUCAGCAUCCUGUCUAGCUGGCCCUAUGAAAUCGUGCGGGUGAUGCCUUCAUUACCCCUCUGGGAUUUAGUGUCUUUUGGCUUUACUUCUUUCUAUAUCUUUAAUUGUUCUCAAAGGAUGAUCUUGAGUAAUUGCUGAUCUCACUGCCAGUUUGUCAAAUACUUUUGCAAGUAUUCACGAAACCAUAGUGCUUGAGGAUACAUAAAUUAACUUGCCUAAUUAUCCUUGAUCAAGUCUUCCCUCUUCUCCUUUCUACCCAUUUCUAUUGAGAUCCACUCACCCAGACAGGGGCUGUCAGGCAUUCCCUCUGUGCUGCAGUUUAGGAUGGCAUAUAGAUCACCUGAGUCUGUGGUAAUAAGUUCUUAGCUCGUCUUCUCACAUCUUGUCCUGUCCACUGUAUAAGCUAAUUAAUCAUAUAAAGCAGACAGUUAAUCAGCCUAGAUGCUCCCCAUUGCUGCCUGGCAAAACUCCAAACACCUUCACAUGGCAUGCAAAGUCCCUCUAUGGAUAUUAUUUAUAAAGACUUCUUCUUCUAAACCUAUUAACAGACUAUGACUAAGCCCGAUGGACAACUUGCAUUCUUGAAUUGUCCUACUCCUCCCUAAUUAAACCCUUUGUUUACAUUUUCCACUUCUUCAGGAAUCUUUUGCCCCCUAAAUCGAUCCAUCAAAUUUUUAAUGCCUUUUCCAUGCUGAAAAGGAAAGAGAAGUCUUCCACUGAGACUUCUCUGACUCCGUAUCUGGGGAUAGCCUACAUCUCAGACUCCUGUUGGCUCUUCAGAAUCAUAGCCCAUAUAUUUGUAUUGACAUCCAAAUAGUGUCAUCCUGACAUGACAGGGAAGCUGCACUCAUAAAAUCUCAGCAGUGCAGAUGCCUAAACAAGACCUGCAUGGUGACAAUACCAGGUGACAUGCCAGCCUGGAUAGAGGAAACCUCACAGGGUCCCAUUCCUAGAUGAAAAUCUCCAAGGGAAGGAAAUAUCAACUCUUAUCUUAUUCACUACAAUACCUCAUGUAAAUGCUAAGUAGGAUGAUAAUUAAUGAACUAAAUAAUAACAAGUCUAACACCUAAUAUGUACAUAUAUAAAGUAUAAUUUACGUAUAAUUGAUGGAAAAACAGAAGAAUGACCAAGGUACAAUACAUUGUUAAUUAAUCAUACUAUCAGAUUAAAAUUGUAGAUAUAUACCAAAGAAUAGUCUAAAUGUGUACUAGUAAUAUCUAUUAUUAACACAAUCAUCAUCACUUAAUAAUUAAGCAAAUUGAUAUUUAUAUUAUAAAAUCAAAUGGGGGUUGUCUGAGUAACUCACUAGGGUUGCAUUAACUCUCUGGACCCAGUGGCUAUGAAUGAUUCCUAGAGAUAGAGAUGCACAUCCUUCAUUUCAAAGACUGCAGAAUAACACACUAGAAAAGUGUAUUCAGUCGAUGUAUAAACUGUACGGGCAUUGCUAGCCACAGCACAAUACCAAAUGCUACAUUCCCUAACUUGAAAGACUUUCCACUGUCGACUGUGUAAAAAAAGUAACUCCGUGUUUGUUCUCUGCUCCAUUGGCACAGCGGAUAGUAAUGAAAUAAAUCACCCCCAUUACCAUUGCUAGCACCACUGUCCUAAAAACAUAUUCCUUAGUUAAAAAAAUGGAGCUCAAGAACUGACAUUGAGAAACAUGGCUCAGUGGGAAGCUGAGACAACUGUGGAUGCUUACCGACAUCAAAGGAAAGCCAUUCAUCACCAUCAUGACCAUGAUGGGUUUAUUUACAAGCUAUGAAGAAUACAGAAAAGGGAACAUCAAGUUCUGGGCAUUUGACAAGGGUAUUUCCCCCAAGUGUGUUCUACUUUGUUUUGGAGAAAUCACAUGUAUUUCUCUAAGAUGAGGGUAAAAAUUCAGGUAAUGAAAGCAUGCCAGUGCUGUAUUGAUAAGCACUAAGCACACUCUACUCUUCCUCCUCCCCCUCUUCAUCCUCCUCCUCCCUUCUUCUAAAAUUCAUAUUUCAAUUGAUUUAAUUUCUGGCAACAUUUAAAAGCACUGGCCCUCGGCUUUCCCUAUUUUCACUUGACUGCUGAACUAUGAUAUGAUCCUGUAUGUGACACCACAGGCAAAACUUCAGUCACUUCUACACAAACUGAGCCAACUUAUGUUGGCACUAUGUGAAGGUUGCCUGAAUUUCCAUCCUGUGGACCACAAGCCUCACUAUAGUUGUUCACUGUAAAGAGUAUAAGAGCCAAAAGACUAAGCCGACUGCUGCAAGACAGGAUCUUCUCAACAUGACAGGGAAG
Molecule: long non-coding RNA, 14194 nt
Organism: Mus musculus (house mouse)
Lineage: Eukaryota; Metazoa; Chordata; Mammalia; Rodentia; Muridae
Product: predicted gene, 51670
Exons: 3
Source: RefSeq, a predicted model, not a curated record